This 825-nucleotide unclassified non-coding RNA is filed under the name Hevea brasiliensis (rubber tree). Lineage: Eukaryota; Viridiplantae; Streptophyta; Magnoliopsida; Malpighiales; Euphorbiaceae. The record is from RNAcentral.
AGAUAAAAUGGCUAAAUAACUUAGGGAGUACUAAAGUAUAGUUUCGGCCAGAAGGACAAGGACAACAGGCAUAAAGUAGAUAUGAAAGAAAUCACAUGAAAAAAAAUAAACAAUAAUAAAGGGAAACACAAGAAAAAUUCACAUUACUAAUUCAAGAUUCACCAAUCACCAUUACUGCGACUGCUUAUCACAUAACUAUGAAUUUUCAGACAGAAAGUAGUUGUUCUAAGGGGGAUAAAUUUCUUCCCUGGAUAUCAUCUGUGUUAUUGAUAAGAAAAAAAAAAUGCUAAAUUGGACCAGAUAUACAGCAAUAUAAACCAACUCAUCAAGUGAACAGAAAUAACAUUUCAUAUCAUGGAAAUAGAAUCAUAUCUAUAUAGAUCUAGAAACUAAUGUUAAUAUACAUCACAUAAUAAUCCAUUAUCUGCAUUAGCAACAACCCCAAAACCAUAGUCUUCCUUCCAAAAACAAAAGGUACGAAAAUUGAAAAAUUAUAAGCAAAUUGAAUCAUUUCUUGCAACCCAAUACUAAAAGAAAUACAACAAAAGCCCUCCACCAUCCCCUUCUCCCAACAUUUCAGAGCAAAUGAAGUUCUCCACAUAAACACCAAUAAUUACAGAUGAUAAAGUAGGAAAGGCAAGAUAUACGGUUUCUCCAUCUUGGAGCAAAUGGGGCUAGCUUAUUCCGGUCACAAGACCAUAGUAUAACUAAGAAUUGCAGUCAAUUUUCAAGAAAUUUCAAAAUAAUGAAUCACAACAUCAGAUUAUCCAGGAUAAAAAUGAACCUAGAUUCUUCAGAUUUGUAAUUGCCCAUUUCUUCUUCUAU